CCAUUUUCCUUUUCCACUUUGGGUCCUUCAUGUACCCAUGGGUUUAUUGGCUUACAUGUUACCAAAUUUUCUCCAAUCAAGCCAAUCUUUGCUGCCACAAGACAUUUCUCUAAGUCACUAACUCAUUUUCAAGGACUACUCGAGCCAAAAACAAGAAUUCUUACUGUUCCUUGCUUGAAUCACCAAAAUCAAGCUUUUUCUUCUUUUCUCUCUUUUUCUUUCUUAUCCUCCUAGGGUUUAGAUGUGCUGGAAAUUGGGGUUAAAGACUGUAAAUUUAGUGCUUAAGAAGUUUGGAGAAGAAAGGAAAAGAAAACAUGAAAAGGAAAGUGAAGAAAACUUGAUUUCAUGGCGACAAAGAGAAAAUGGCAUGGAAGCUUCAA
This 380-nucleotide long non-coding RNA is filed under the name Theobroma cacao (cacao). Its description in RNAcentral is "long non-coding RNA (TCAC_LNC002409)". Lineage: Eukaryota; Viridiplantae; Streptophyta; Magnoliopsida; Malvales; Malvaceae. The record is from RNAcentral.